AUGGGCGUGGCUGCGCUACCACGCCGGAGCGGAAAGGGAGGACACAACAGUUGGAGGAGGAGCUGCGCGCAGUGCGCCAAAUUGGAUCUGGGGGCGGCUUGGGUGGUUUCCGACACGAGGGAGACGAAACAACCCUACCACCACCAACCCCGGGCGUGGCACAGCUUCACCGGCCGGCCCUCCUAUGGCAACGAUAGGGGAGAGAGUGUCAGUGCUGGAGGAGUGGCAAUGCAUAUAUACAUGCAACCAACAAACCAAAAAUAUGCAAGGUCGCUCCGGGGAGACAAGGAGAUUGCGCCAUUCAUGCAGUUCGUACCCGCAUCGCAUAUAUGUUGUGUCGUGAUGGAUGGCACAAAUAAGUUCGUGUGGUCGAGCCACAAGGACGGUAGGAUCCGAUCAUGGUCCUCUCAACGAUGGUGGUAG
RNAcentral lists this ribosomal RNA (423 nucleotides) under Triticum aestivum (bread wheat). RNAcentral's name for it is "partial small subunit ribosomal RNA". Lineage: Eukaryota; Viridiplantae; Streptophyta; Magnoliopsida; Poales; Poaceae. The record is from RNAcentral.